Molecule: ribosomal RNA, 497 nt
Filed under: uncultured bacterium
Lineage: Bacteria
Description: partial 16S ribosomal RNA
Rfam family: Bacterial small subunit ribosomal RNA
Source: RNAcentral
GAUGAACGCUGGCGGCGUGCCUAAUACAUGCAAGUCGAGCGAACGGACGAGAAGCUUGCUUCUCUGAUGUUAGCGGCGGACGGGUGAGUAACACGUGGAUAACCUACCUAUAAGACUGGGAUAACUUCGGGAAACCGGAGCUAAUACCGGAUGAUAUUUUGAACCGCAUGGUUCAAAAGUGAAAGACGGUCUUGCUGUCACUUAUAGAUGGAUCCGCGCUGCAUUAGCUAGUUGGUAAGGUAACGGCUUACCAAGGCAACGAUGCAUAGCCGACCUGAGAGGGUGAUCGGCCACAAUGGAACUGAGACACGGUCCAGACUCCUACGGGAGGCAGCAGUAGGGAAUCUUCCGCAAUGGGCGAAAGCCUGACGGAGCAACGCCGCGUGAGCGAUGAAGGUCUUCGGAUCGUAAAACUCUGUUAUUAGGGAAGAACAUAUGUGUAAGUAACUGUGCACAUCUUGACGGUACCUAAUCAGAAAGCCACGGCUAACUACGUG